AGCUUAAGAGAAAAAAUGUAGUAUAUUGUUUGAUUAUGAGUGAAUAUAUGAUAUUUACAAAAUUAUUAAGAUCCUCUUUAUAUAGUAGAGGAAUCCUAUUUAUAGUAUAAUUUUAAUUACAGAAGUAAAUCUCAUAAAAAGCUAAACAAUCGAUCCUGACUCGAUACAUGUCGAGAAUUCCGCCACAUUCUUUACUUGAUCACGGAUAUCUCGGCUUUAUGUUAUUCGAUCUAACAAGCUUCCUUUGAUCUCACUCGAUCUCUUUCUUGCUCUACUCUCGAUCACUGCUAGUCUUUCUUGAUGGGCCAUUGAUCCACGAGCUUACCAAUCCAUUAAUCAAUAUAACCGAGGCUGAGCCUUGAUCUGCCACCCUGAUUUCGGUAAGUCAUACAAAAUUAGGCAAGCCAAUUUUGACGGUAUACAAUUGGAAAUAUAGUUUGACAUAAAUAAUCUUUUUCAAAUACAAUCACCCAUAUAUUUCAGCAAUAAAAUUUGAAAAUCGUAGAAGGUUUGGAAAAAUUGGGAGAAAAAAGUGGAAGAAAAUCAAAACUAGAAUUGGAACACUCAUAGUUGAUGGAAUGAAUUGAUAAAGUAGAAUAAAACGAUAGCUACAAGGAUUUUCAGCAUGAAAUCAUUUUUUUAAAAGAAAUGGAAAAAGAAUAGAGAAAAGUUACUGACCUAGUGGAGAUGAUGAAUUAAAUCUCCACAAAUCCUUCAAAACAUACUUUUAACUUGGAGUAAAUAAAUGCGUAAAAGGGGCUGACGGAGAGUUCUAGGAUGUUGGGGUUCAUAUCGAUAAAAAAGCAUAUGAAAGUAGCGGAGACUUCUAGAAUAUUGUAUGAUUGUUGGGGGAUUUAUAUGCAUAUACGUAUUUUUAUUAUUAUAUAUAUUAUAAUAAAAUAACAGGUAUAAUGACAAGUCUGCCCUUGAUCGACCAUCUUUGCGUUUUCUAUAUAAUAGAUCAUCAUUUCCCUCGUACCUUUGUUUUCUUGUGAAAAUU
Molecule: long non-coding RNA, 1000 nt
Filed under: Nicotiana benthamiana
Lineage: Eukaryota; Viridiplantae; Streptophyta; Magnoliopsida; Solanales; Solanaceae
Description: long non-coding RNA (NBEN_LNC016691)
Source: RNAcentral